Molecule: long non-coding RNA, 3359 nt
Filed under: Sus scrofa (pig)
Lineage: Eukaryota; Metazoa; Chordata; Mammalia; Artiodactyla; Suidae
Description: lncRNA (ENSSSCG00025051017.1, ENSSSCG00055009859.1)
Source: RNAcentral
UUUUUCUGGCAGAAAUACCUCAUGAUUCUCUCUCAUUGAUAGCAUCUUUGAAGUCUCCAGCUACAGAACUGGUUUCUCCUCAUCUUAAUGUGUCUUUUAAGGCAUAUCACUCAAUGCAUCAAUUGGUUUAAGAGACAUUAUAUCACUAGGGCUUCUUAACAUUCUUGAAAUCAACCUUACUUCGUGGUAUAAAAUUUCUCUUAUACAGUAUUGGGCUGAAUUGGCUAAUAUUUUAUUUUCAGGUUGAUAUUAACAUAUGAGAUUGAUAUCUUGUAGCUUUUCAUAUAAAGCCUUAUUCAAUUUGAUCUCAAAGUUAUGCUUCAUCAAAUUAACAAGAGAUAUUUCAUCUUUUGCUCUGCUCUAGAGCAGACUGUCGAGCAGUGGGGAUUUGAGCACCUUGGUCACACAGCCCUCUAGAGGCAGUAUUCACUUAUCAAGUGUUUUACCAGCCAUUGCUUCCCUUUUCUUUUUUCCUAUAUUUUUUCUUGAAUAAAUUUCAGAAAUUUAUAUUUUCAGAGAAUAUUAUCCAUUUAACGAAGAGUUUCCAAUUUAUUAGUCUAGAGUUAAGGGCAGCAGUUUUUUUGUGUAACAGUCCCACUGUGGUCAGCUUUGCAGGCCAUAUGGUCUCUGUCACGACUCUUCAACUCAGUAGUUACAGCAUAAAAGCAAUGAUGGAUAUGAACAUACCUGUGUUCCAAUAAACUUUAUUUCUAAACAACAGGGAGUAGACAGGGUUUGUACCUUGGGCCACAGUUUGGUAACACCUGGCCUAGAGUAAUUUAUAUUAGAUUUUAUAUUAAAAAUAUAUUCCAAAUACGUUUUCUUAUUUCUCACUUUUUAUAUUUUUAGAAAUAAAUUAAAAUUUCCAUUUUUAUUUUUGUGUAUAUUCAGCAGUUAAAUUGUUUCGGUAAUCCUUUAUGCUUAGAUGGUUGUAAUGCUAAUCUUAAAUGUUCCCAUGCAUUCGUUAUUCCUGGUUGGCUGCAGUAUAUACUUAAGCCUUUGUUUCUUUCUUUGGUAAGGAAGAAAAUGAUGACAACCUUCUGAUUUUUGCUCAACUGAGAACUCUUUCUUGCCUUCACAAAAGCAAAAUGUUUUAUUUCUCUAGGCAAUGCCUAUGUGGCAUUAUUUGUGAUCUCUAUCUAUAUGAAAUUUACUCCACUGCACCCAGUUUAGAGUGACAGGCAAAAAAGUAAAACACAAAAUCCACAGCUUCCAAGCUGAUGGACCUCCACCUUCUUCAGGCCAGGACCAUGUCUGCUGAUGCUUUCAGCAUUUUCUCAAGUGCUCCCACCACUGCUUGAUACUUCGUAGGUGCUCUAAAAAUGACUUGUUGAAAUAAUGUCAAAUAAAUAAGUCCUGGAAAAAAUAAAUACCUUUGACAUUAAUUUGCACACCAGGUCAGCCCUUUGCUCAUACAGGCCAAUGAGAAGGAAAUCUCUGCAGAACUCCCCUUUUCAUCUCUGCACCAGAUUCUCUGAUUUUGGUGGAUUUACCUGCCAGGCUUCCCUUUUCUCAAGAUCUGUAGUCACCUGCUUUGCACUAUCACAUAACAAGUCUAGACUACUGAGGUCUCUGCCUCCUGCUGGAUUAUGGAUAAGUCCCUGUAUAUGGUUUUAAUUACCUAUUGCUGUGUAACAAACAGCCACAAAACCUCAGCAGCAUACCACAAAAAGUACUUACUUAGCUUUUGAAUUCACAUGUUGGUUGCUCUAGGCUGGGGUCUAGAUUGCCUCUGCUUGACAUGCCAGGGCCAGCAGAUGGCUCUGGAUGUGUCCUGCCCCUGAUGAAGGCAGAAGUUGAGAAGAAUCACAGAAGGCCUCUUAGGGUCUAACCCCAGAACUGCCAUAUCAGAACUACUGCCUUGAGUAGUUGCCUAUGAGCGUGUCAAGCACAGGCAUACUCCAAGCCAGGAAGCAGAGUGGUUUGUUCUGCCUGUGAAGGGAGCGGGCCAGAGAGGGGAACUACAAUGUUAAAUGGAAAAGGUGGGGGUACUGAGAGGUGAAGAAUUCGAGCCCCAAGUGGAAUCUAUUACACACUGACCUUCUCCUGUCCACAUCCCCUGAUGUCCAUGCUGCCUCCUACUUCCUUCAUCGUAAUUUCAAAGGGAGCUCACAAGACAUGACCUGACUUGAGCCCCAGACCUUCCUCCUCCAAGUUAGGCAUUGUUAACAGGGUUUGCUGUGAUCCUAUCCUCUUUCAUCCUGGAGACACUGCUUAGAGUUGGCAGAUUAGUGCAGGCAGAGUUUGCCUGUUGCAUUGCCCUUAUCUCAACCUAGUUCUUUCUACAGAUUUUCUGAGAAAAACACAAAAUUCCUUACCUGCUCCUGGGCCCCUGAACUCUCAAGCUCAAAAAGUGGUUUCCCAGAAUUCUUUAAAGGGGUUAAAAUGACAAAACCCAUAUAGGACCCAUUAUGGUGUCAGUGUUUUUCUCUAACCUCGGUGUUACCAUUCAAGCUCUCUCUCAAAUCAUACAGCAACAGCUCCUCUCUCUCUGGGGAAGUUUAGCCAGUACACCACUAAUUCUAAACUCUGCUGUAAUUCUUGAGCCUCCCUGUGUCCCAAACAUUCUUCUCUCUCUCCUUACACAGCCACUCCGCACCCUCCCAAAACACACACACCAAAUCUCUUAACACAAAGCCUACUUGUUCUUCAGGGCUCUGCUUGCAUGUUACCAAGUCCCACUCCUUCUUCCCAGUGUUCAGAGGGCCUGGGAGCAUAAAGCGAUUACUUCUUAAUUCUUCAAGGAACUGUGGGAAUUAACUAACCCACUAUUUUUCAAAGAAUGGAUACUUUUGGCGGGCUAUGAGGUAUUUCAUGGAACACAUGGAGGAACUGUUUUAAUUACAGUAGCUACAUAUUAAAUAUGUUAAGAACAAAGUUCUUAUCUAUAGCCAGUCCUACUCAUCUAUGGUUUCUAUAAAAUUAUUGCUUAGGAUAAGGCUAAAUUUCAAAGCUGAUUUGACUUAAAGUCAAGUAAAAUUAAAGGUAUUUUGGAAUUCCCCUGUGGUGAGGUGGGUUAACGAUCUGGCAUUAUCACUGCAGUGGGUUGCUGCUGUGGUUCAGGUUCAACCUCUGACCCAUGAAGUCUCACAUGCCAUGGGUACAGCCAGAAAAACAAAAAAGGUAAUUUAGCACCCGACUAUGAUAAAAAAUUUUGAAGGUGAUAUGCCAAUAACUUAAUGUAACAUCAAAGAUCACUGAUCACGAAUCACCAUAACAAAUAUAAUAAUAAUUUAAAAAUUUGAAAUUAUCCUUAUUAUCCUCAGUAAUUUGCGAGGAUUACCAAAAUGUGACACAAUGGGAGCAAAUGCUAUUGGAAAAAAUGGCGCUAACAGACUCGCUUGACACAGGGCUGCCAU